GCCCGGUUAGCUCAGUUGGUAGAGCACCUCCAUGGUAAGGAGGGGGUCUGCGGUUCAAGUCCGCAACCGGGCUCCA
Molecule: transfer RNA, 76 nt
Filed under: bacterium BMS3Abin01
Lineage: Bacteria
Also listed under: 2 other names
Description: tRNA-Thr
Rfam family: tRNA
About the family: Transfer RNA (tRNA) molecules are approximately 80 nucleotides in length. Their secondary structure includes four short double-helical elements and three loops (D, anti-codon, and T loops).
Source: RNAcentral